GCCCAUUUUUGCAGCCUCCCCAUAAAAAAAUACGGAGCUGCCUCUAACAUUUAUGAUAGUGUUCAAAAUCCAACAGUCCCUUCCUCUUUUGCAGUCCACUUUUUCAUUCUAUUUCUCGAGUAAAUCCUGUAGUCAGUUUUUAAUAAAGAGCUAACUUCUUAACUAGUCACAUGUGCCUUUGGUGUGCCAAGGAACACUAUUGCCUCUAAGAACAAAUCAUUACAGGAUAUUUGCAUAUAAACCCUGGCAUCUUAAAAUGUGAGUUGGAAAAGUGUGUGUGUGUGUGCAUUUUCUUUUUGGCAAGGAUAGCAAUAAGAGUGGAAAAUAAAACUGCCAAUGGGAUCAGAAAAUCAGAUAAUAAAUUGUACAAAAUGUUGGGGGAGAGUGUUCAGUAGAGUAAGGAAAUUGAUUUUAGUAGAGCUGGAUAUAACAUUUUUAGGAAGUGUAGCCUGAAGAAAAGUAUGGUAUUUGAAGAGAAUUUGCUGUGGUUACCUUUUCAAAGACCACUUAAUGCUCGGAGUAGGCAUCCUCCCAUUUUUUCCUUUAAGCAAAAGAAAAUCUAUCCUUAACUUAAUCCAAACCUUGGAACUACUACUGUUUUGGUUUCCCAAAAUCUCUCAGUCGCAAUGGCUAAUAUCUGCUCCAUUGGUCUUCCCCACAUAUUGAAGUAUAACCCAUAAUGCUAGGAGUCACUAGGCUAGGACAGUUGAUCAAUAUGUUUUCAAUUUUUCCCCUCAGGAACAGGUUCUUAUUUGAUUUUUAGAACCUGAAAAUCCCUUCCACUUGAAAUGCAUCCAUACAGAGGUUUGAGAAAGGAGCCUUGGUUUGAUUUUCGAAAUAACUAGAAAUAACAUCAUACAAAAGCUGACUGGCACAAUCUGGGGAUCACAACCAGACACAGAGAAGACAUCUGCCCUUGUGCUUUGCUACUCUGCUCCUGAAAAGGCAUGCCCAGUGUGGAAUACAUUUCACCAAAUUAAAACAGUGAAUGUGGCUCUUAAUGAGACAUUUCGCAUCAUCACAGGAUGUCUACGCCCCACACCACUGGAGAAAUUAUACUGUUUAGCCAGCAUUGAACCAUCUGACAUCCACCAGGAAGUAGCAGCCAGCAAUGAAAGG
This 1119-nucleotide long non-coding RNA is filed under the name Anolis carolinensis (green anole). RNAcentral's name for it is "lncRNA (ENSACAG00000044895.1)". Lineage: Eukaryota; Metazoa; Chordata; Lepidosauria; Squamata; Anolidae. The record is from RNAcentral.